UCUUCCUACGGGGGGCAGCAGUGGGGAAUAUUGCACAAUGGGGGAAACCCUGAUGCAGCGACGCCGCGUGAGUGAAGAAGUAUUUCGGUAUGUAAAGCUCUAUCAGCAGGGAAGAUAAUGACGGUACCUGAGUAAGAAGCCCCGGCUAACUACGUGCCAGCAGCCGCGGUAAUACGUAGGGGGCAAGCGUUAUCCGGAUUUACUGGGUGUAAAGGGGGCGCAGACGGCGAUGCAAGCCAGGAGUGAAAGCCCGGGGCCCAACCCCGGGACUGCUCUUGGAACUGCGUGGCUGGAGUGCAGGCGGG
Molecule: ribosomal RNA, 305 nt
Filed under: uncultured bacterium
Lineage: Bacteria
Description: bacterial SSU rRNA
Rfam family: Bacterial small subunit ribosomal RNA
Source: RNAcentral